RNAcentral lists this transfer RNA (75 nucleotides) under Legionella steigerwaltii. Its description in RNAcentral is "tRNA-Pro(cgg)". It matches the Rfam family "tRNA". From Rfam's summary of the family: Transfer RNA (tRNA) molecules are approximately 80 nucleotides in length. Their secondary structure includes four short double-helical elements and three loops (D, anti-codon, and T loops). The record is from RNAcentral. Lineage: Bacteria; Pseudomonadati; Pseudomonadota; Gammaproteobacteria; Legionellales; Legionellaceae.
CGGAGUGUAGCUCAGCCUGGUAGAGCACUGCCUUCGGGAGGCAGGGGACGCAGGUUCAACUUCUGUCACUCCGAC